RNAcentral lists this ribosomal RNA (468 nucleotides) under uncultured bacterium. Its description in RNAcentral is "partial 16S ribosomal RNA". It matches the Rfam family "Bacterial small subunit ribosomal RNA", at positions 28 to 507 of the family's 1533-position model. The record is from RNAcentral.
GACGAACGCUGGCGGCGUGCUUAACACAUGCCAGUCGAACGGAAAGGCCCUGCUCUUGUGGGGUGCUCGAGUGGCGAACGGGUGAGUAACACGUGAGUAACCUGCCCUUGACUUUGGGAUAACUUCAGGAAACUGGGGCUAAUACCGCAUAGGAGCUCCUGCUGCACGGUGGGGGCUGGAAAGUUUCGGCGGUUGGGGAUGGACUCGCGGCUUAUCAGCUUGUUUGUGGAGUAGUGACUUACCCAGGCUUAGACGGAUAGGCGGCCUGAGAGGGGGGCCGGGGACAAUGGUACUAAGGUACGCAGCAGAAGGCAACGGGAGGCAGCAGGGGAGAGUAUGGCAGAGCAAGGGGGGGUGUGUGGACGCAGCGCCGCGGGCGGGAAGACGGGGUACGAGGGGUGAACAGCUUUGUACGGAGACGAAGAGUGAGUGACGGUAAUGGGUAAGGAAGCAACGGCUAACUACGUG